Molecule: ribosomal RNA, 253 nt
Filed under: uncultured bacterium
Lineage: Bacteria
Description: partial 16S ribosomal RNA
Rfam family: Bacterial small subunit ribosomal RNA
Source: RNAcentral
UACGGAGGGUGCGAGCGUUGCUCGGAAUCACUGGGCGUAAAGCGUACGCAGGCGGUCUAUCAAGUCGGGUGUGAAAGCCCGGGGCUCAACCCCGGAAUUGCGCCCGAGACUGCUGGACUUGAGUGCGGGAGAGGAAAGCGGAAUUCCUGGUGUAGAGGUGAAAUUCGUAGAUAUCAGGAGGAACACCUGUGGCGAAAGCGGCUUUCUGGCCCGACACUGACGCUCAUGUACGAAAGCGCGGGGAGCAAACAGG